RNA transcript from Tarenaya hassleriana, 1835 nucleotides. It is a transcript of the gene named protein ALTERED XYLOGLUCAN 4-like, with no coding region annotated. The record is from RefSeq and is a predicted model, not a curated record. Lineage: Eukaryota; Viridiplantae; Streptophyta; Magnoliopsida; Brassicales; Cleomaceae. The transcript is spliced from 3 exons.
AAUAAUGGAGAAUAAGUGAAGAAAAUAAAAAAUACUCGAAGAAUAUGUCCUCCAUUGACAGGCUAACCCCAACAAGGCUAUAGAUUAAAUUACCGUCAUCUUCUCCGCAGGCAUGAGAAAGAGGAAGAAGAAGCGGGUGUCACAUGUACUGGAUGAAGAAGAGCAACAAGUACAAAAAAAGCUUCUUCUUGCCUGAAAUGGGGUUCAAAGAGCAAGCCAGCUGUCUGAAUCAGAAGAAGCUCGCCGUCUAUACUGUCUUGGCGUUUCUACUCAUCGCUCUGUUUCGCCUCUGGUUUUAUUACCCAUUUUCCGCCAUUGAUGGAACUCUCCUCCAAGAUUCAGCUCAUAUCGUGAUCAACAGCUACUCUUCUUCUUCUUCUUCUUCCCCAGAAGAAGAAGCUGCAGGCCAAAAGAACAAGCCUUUAUGCGAUUACACUGACGGCAAAUGGGUCCGAGGUGAGAUGGGUCCACUGUACAACGGCACGACCUGUGGAACAAUAAAGGAUGGUCAGAACUGCCUCCGCCAUGGCCGACCUGAUUCGGGUUAUCUUUACUGGAAAUGGAAACCGAACCAAUGCGAUAUUCCGAGGUUCGACCCGACCCGAUUCCUCGAUCUUCUGAGAGACAAACACUUGGCUUUUAUCGGGGACUCCAUGGCCAGAAACCAGCUCGAGUCUCUGCUCUGUAUGCUUGCCACCUUCUCCACACCGAAUCUCGUCUACAGAAACGGCGAAGACAAUAAGUUUCGAAGAUGGCUUUUCAAAUCCCACAACCUCACCGUCUCCGUUUACUGGUCGCCGUUUCUGGUCGCGGGCAAGGAGAAAUCGACGGAGUCUGGGUUAGACCACAACGUCCUUCAUCUAGAACGCGUUGACGAGAAGUGGGCAAAGGAUUUGGAUCAGAUGGAUGUGGUUGUUUUGUCCGUGGGACAUUGGUUUCUCCACCCGGCCAUGUAUUUAGAGUCCGGCUCUGUUUUGGGCUGCCAUUCUUGCCCCGCAAGGAACUGUACGGAAAUAGGUUUUUUCGAAGUGUUCAGAAAGGCCAUAAGAACGACGCUGAGAUCCGUGGUCAGCAAUCGUGGCCGCCACCGCCACCGCGAUGUGGUAUUGACGACGUUCUCCCCGUCACAUUUCGAGGGCCGACCUUGGGACAGCCUCGGAGCGUGCAACAUGACAGAACCGUACGAGGGGAAGGCUCUAGAAGGAAUGGACGAGGAGAUGCGGAGGAUAGAGAUGGAAGAAGUGGCGGCCGCAAACGCAGGCACAAACACAAACGUGGAAGCGUUGGACGUGACGGGGCUGUCGAUACUGCGGCCGGACGGACAUCCGGGACCGUACAUGUACGCGUUCCCGUUCAAGAACGGCGUGCCGGAUAGAAUUCAUAAUGACUGUCUCCACUGGUGCUUGCCUGGUCCCGUUGACACGUGGAAUGAGAUCUUGCUCGAGGUUUUGCGGCGAUGGAUGGAUCAUGUCUGGUGAUGAUUGCGGAACUCAUCAUACUUGAUGUCAUCAUGUUCCCGAUUUCGCGGAUAAAAAGCUUUUGCACAACAAUGAACUUGGAGGAGGAUACGGGAAGAAUGCAUGGUAAUAUGGCCAUAACAAUGAUGAUGGCUAUGGUGAUGAUGAUGUUGACAAUGGAUGAUGAUGAAUGGUGUGGAUAUACAAUUGGCAAGAAGAAGGAUUUUGAGUUGUUGUGAGGUUUUGGUGGGUUGUGUGAUGAACCACACGGUACAUAAAGAGACAAUCUUGUCUUGAUUCAAGAUUUUCUUUCCAGAGGAAUCUUAUCAUAUUUUUUCCAUAACCAUUAAAAGAAAAUACUAACAUUUGCAAGCUGCA